ACAAGGUUUCCGUAGGUGAACCUGCGGAAGGAUCAUUAAAGAAAUUUAAUAAUUUUGAAAAUGGAUUUUUUUGUUUUGGCAAGAGCAUGAGAGCUUUUACUGGGCAAGAAGACAAGAGAUGGAGAGUCCAGCCGGGCCUGCGCUUAAGUGCGCGGUCUUGCUAGGCUUGUAAGUUUCUUUCUUGCUAUUCCAAACGGUGAGAGAUUUCUGUGCUUUUGUUAUAGGACAAUUAAAACCGUUUCAAUACAACACACUGUGGAGUUUUCAUAUCUUUGCAACUUUUUCUUUGGGCAUUCGAGCAAUCGGGGCCCAGAGGUAACAAACACAAACAAUUUUAUCUAUUCAUUAAAUUUUUGUCAAAAACAAGAAUUUUCGUAACUGGAAAUUUUAAAAUAUUAAAAACUUUCAACAACGGAUCUCUUGGUUCUCGCAUCGAUGAAGAACGCAGCGAAAUGCGAUACGUAAUGUGAAUUGCAGAAUUCCGUGAAUCAUCGAAUCUUUGAACGCACAUUGCGCCCCUUGGUAUUCCAGGGGGCAUGCCUGUUUGAGCGUCAUUUCCUUCUCAAACAUUCUGUUUGGUAGUGAGUGAUACUCUUUGGAGUUAACUUGAAAUUGCUGGCCUUUUCAUUGGAUGUUUUUUUUCCAAAGAGAGGUUUCUCUGCGUGCUUGAGGUAUAAUGCAAGUACGGUCGUUUUAGGUUUUACCAACUGCGGCUAAUCUUUUUUUAUACUGAGCGUAUUGGAACGUUAUCGAUAAGAAGAGAGCGUCUAGGCGAACAAUGUUCUUAAAGUUUGACCUCAAAUCAGGUAGGAGUACCCGCUGAACUUAAGCAUAUCAAUAA
Molecule: unclassified non-coding RNA, 841 nt
Filed under: Saccharomyces cerevisiae (brewer's yeast)
Lineage: Eukaryota; Fungi; Ascomycota; Saccharomycetes; Saccharomycetales; Saccharomycetaceae
Description: sequence contains 18S rRNA gene, ITS1, 5.8S rRNA gene, ITS2, 28S rRNA gene
Rfam family: 5.8S ribosomal RNA (bases 401-554)
Source: RNAcentral